GUCGAGAAGACGCCCUCGCUGGCUGGCGUAGGUGGCGCGGCCCGGGCGCCCCCGGAUGUCUCCGGGCUGCCGUGUCGCGCGGCGAACACCGUUACUCCCGGCCUUCCCCCGCUGCUGGCUUUCGGGCGAAAGCUGGGCAGCUGAGGAACGGCCUCCCCGUGGGGACGAAGGGCGGAAAUUUCCACCGAUUUCCUCACGGAGCGCUCCCGUUCUGCGAGGCUUCCCGAAUUGAUCAGCGGGAUCACUUGACUGGAGCCACCUGCCUGAGUAUCUUCUGAAGAACCACUGCAGUUUCCUUCCAGAGGUCCUCAAGCCCCCUUCAGAAAUCAAGUCCUCCUUAAAGCCAGGGCUGGAAACUGGAGCUUCCCACCAGUUCGUAUAGCACUCGCACUUGCUGCGGGCACCUGCUUAGGAGAUGGAUGCGUAGCCCCCUGGACAAGGAAAGGGAUGAGACCAGCCAGCCGCCAAGAAAAACUAGCGCAUGGUCCGGGAAGGAGACAGAGAAAACUAAGAGGCCUCCAUGACUUGGAAACACCCAGUCAGCCUGAUGGCUGCGCCUACUUCUCUGAGUUCCUGUGGCAAACUGGACGAUUUUACUCAGAUUACGUGGAGCUUCAUAGUGAAUUGUUUGCUGGAUUGAAAAAAAUCACACAGUCUUGGAAGCAGCCUGUGUGUUCACUGAUAGAUGAACGGGAUGGGGGAGUUGAGGCAGGGUCUCAACUUUUGAGCCCAAACUGGCCUCAAACUCCAGUUUAA
This 756-nucleotide long non-coding RNA is filed under the name Fukomys damarensis (Damara mole-rat). Its description in RNAcentral is "lncRNA (ENSFDAG00000025783.1)". The record is from RNAcentral. Lineage: Eukaryota; Metazoa; Chordata; Mammalia; Rodentia; Bathyergidae.